This 592-nucleotide ribosomal RNA is filed under the name Paratrichodorus sp. 802S-023. Its description in RNAcentral is "SSU rRNA". It matches the Rfam family "Eukaryotic small subunit ribosomal RNA", at positions 1024 to 1643 of the family's 1831-position model. Lineage: Eukaryota; Metazoa; Nematoda; Enoplea; Triplonchida; Trichodoridae. The record is from RNAcentral.
UUCAGACCGUAAACGAUGCCAUCUGGCGAUCCGCCGGCGUUAUGCUUGACCCGGCGGGCAGCCACCGGUAAACCUUUAAGUGGGGUUCCGGGGGAAGUAUGGUUGCAAAGCUGAAACUUAAAGGAAUUGACGGAAGGGCACCACCAGGAGUGGAGCCUGCGGCUUAAUUUGACUCAACACGGGGAAACUCACCCGGCCCGGACACCGUAAGGAUUGACAGAUUGAGAGCUCUUUCUUGAUUCGGUGGGUGGUGGUGCAUGGCCGUUCUUAGUUGGUGGAGCGAUUUGUCUGGUUUAUUCCGAUAACGAACGAGACUCUAGCCUACUAAAUAGACACUGGUUCUUCGGACCGGUGAACUUCUUAGAGGGACAAGCGACGUUUAGUCGCACGAGAUUGAGCAAUAACAGGUCUGUGAUGCCCUUAGAUGUCCGGGGCUGCACGCGCGCUACACUGAAGGCAUCAUCAUGUUUCUUUUCCUACCCCGGAAGGGGCGGGUAACCCGAUGAAACGCCUUCGUGAUUGGGAUAGGGACUUGCAAUUAUUUCCCUUGAACGAGGAAUUCCUAGUAAGUGCGAGUCAUCAGCUCGCGCUG